CAGGAAAGUGCUUGCACUUUUGCUGACGAGCGGCGGACGGGUGAGUAAUGCCUAGGUAUCUGCCCAGUCGAGGGGGAUAACAGUUGGAAACGACUGCUAAUACCGCAUACGCCCUACGGGGGAAAGGAGGGGACCUUCGGGCCUUUCGCGAUUGGAUGAACCUAGGUGGGAUUAGCUAGUUGGUGGGGUAAUGGCUCACCAAGGCGACGAUCCCUAGCUGGUCUGAGAGGAUGAUCAGCCACACUGGAACUGAGACACGGUCCAGACUCCUACGGGAGGCAGCAGUGGGGAAUAUUGCACAAUGGGCGAAAGCCUGAUGCAGCCAUGCCGCGUGUAUGAAGAAGGCCUUCGGGUUGUAAAGUACUUUCAGCGAGGAGGAAAGGUUGAUGGUUAAUAACCAUCAGCUGUGACGUUACUCGCAGAAGAAGCACCGGCUAACUUCGUGCCAGCAGCCGCGGUAAUACGAGGGGUGCAAGCGUUAAUCGGAAUUACUGGGCGUAAAGCGUACGCAGGCGGUUUGUUAAGCAAGAUGUGAAAGCCCUGGGCUCAACCUAGGAACCGCAUUUUGAACUGGCAAACUAGAGUCUUGUAGAGGGGGGUAGAAUUUCAGGUGUAGCGGUGAAAUGCGUAGAGAUCUGAAGGAAUACCGGUGGCGAAGGCGGCCCCCUGGACAAAGACUGACGCUCAGGUACGAAAGCGUGGGGAGCAAACAGGA
Molecule: ribosomal RNA, 715 nt
Filed under: gamma proteobacterium GM22
Lineage: Bacteria; Pseudomonadati; Pseudomonadota; Gammaproteobacteria
Description: bacterial SSU rRNA
Rfam family: Bacterial small subunit ribosomal RNA
Source: RNAcentral